This 445-nucleotide ribosomal RNA is filed under the name uncultured bacterium. Its description in RNAcentral is "SSU rRNA". It matches the Rfam family "Bacterial small subunit ribosomal RNA", at positions 26 to 518 of the family's 1533-position model. The record is from RNAcentral.
AGAACGAACGCUGGCGGCAGGCCUAACACAUGCAAGUCGAACGCCGUAGCAAUACGGAGUGGCAGACGGGUGAGUAACACGUGGGAACAUACCCUUCGGUUCGGAAUAACUCAGGGAAACUUGAGCUAAUACCGGAUACGUCCGCGAGGAGAAAGAUUCAUCGCCGGAGGAUUGGCCCGCGUCUGAUUAGCUUGUUGGUGAGGUAAUGGCUCACCAAGGCGACGAUCAGUAGCUGGUCUGAGAGGAUGAUCAGCCACAUUGGGACUGAGACACGGCCCAAACUCCUACGGGAGGCAGCAGUGGGGAAUAUUGGACAAUGGGCGAAAGCCUGAUCCAGCCAUGCCGCGUGAGUGAUGAAGGCCUUAGGGUUGUAAAGCUCUUUUACUCGGGAAGAUAAUGACGGUACCGAGAGAAUAAGCCCGGCUAACUUCGUGCCAGCAGCCGC